AUCCGGCUGAUGAUCCCCAAAUAGGUCGAAACGCGCUUCUUGGAU
Non-coding RNA from Schistosoma mansoni, 45 nucleotides. NCBI's taxonomy places the organism in Eukaryota, Metazoa, Platyhelminthes, Trematoda, Strigeidida, Schistosomatidae. The record is from Rfam.